GCUGAAACCAAGAGUCAGACGUUUAACCGACUGAGCCACCCAGGUGCCACAGAUUUUGUUUUUGAUUUCCAAAAUGUACCAUCUCUAAUCUGGGAUUUACAGGACCUUUCUCAAUUAUGUGUCCUCUCUCCCUCAAGAGAAGAACAAGAAUCUGCUCAUCUCUUCAUCCCCAGGAUCCGAGCACCCUUAACAUACUCACCUGAUAGGUAAAUAAAGGACAAUUUAUCCAUUUGCCUCACUUCCGAAAUUUCAGCGUUGAACUAUCUUCUGGUUUCUACCCUUCUUUACCUGCCUCAAAUGGCAGCUUAUAGUAUAGUGGAAGUUUAACUGUAGCUGGUAAUUAUUGAGCACUUACUAUAGGUAGACGUGACAUAAAAUGCUUUAAUAUAAUCUUCACAUCAAAUCUGUGGAGGGAGCACUGCUACUGUCAUUACAUAACAAUGAGGAAAUAAAGUUUAGAGAAAUGAAUUAAUUCACCCAGGGUCACAAAAUUAUUCACUGGUGGAACUACAAGCCAAGACUAGGCCGUCUGGUUUUAGAUCAACUCCGAACUGCUCUUUUGUAGCAGAUCCACUGAUGCCCACAACCUGAGUGCCUGGCAUCAGAACUGUUCAUAGUACGUACUUAGUAAACUUCAACGGAAUGAACAAACAAAUAUUCAUUGCAUUUAGAUUUCUACCCAUAAUAUAUGGGCCUGGGGAUGGGUUACCCUUCAUUCCUCUAAUUUAGGAUAUCUUUUAUUCAUUUAUUUUGACAGAGAGAGAGAGAGAGCGAGAGCAAGCAGUAGAGUGGCAGAGAGCACGGGAGAGAGAGAAUCCCAAGCAGGCUCCAUGCAGUCACGAUCUGAGCCAAACUCAAGAGGCAGACACUUAACCGACUGACCACCCAGGCGCCCCUAAGUUAGGGUAUCUUCUAGUCCAUCAGAUGUAUCCAACCCUUGCUUUUAGUAUAUUCUUACAUGAUGAACAUUAAUAAUUAAGAAUAUGUUGAUGCUCUAAGAUUACAGAGAAGAAAGGGAAAAAUUAGGAUAGAAACAUAGCACUAAAUAUCGAAAGUCCUGGGGGUGCUUACUUAUUUCUAUCGCAGGAAGCAGUGGUCUCAAAGCAAUGUGCCACACUGCCGCGCCUGUGAUUCUGGAAGGCCAGGAUGAUCCUGGUGCCAGAUGGGGAGCCAUGUGAGGGUGUUGCCCUUGAAAACUGGCAAGAGGGUGGAGGCGAUUGCGGGCAGUAACCACUGGAAAUGAUAGGGUGGGGAUCUGUGCUUGGUGGCUUCACUUGCCGCCUAGAAUUAGCACCUGCAGCAUCUUUGGCAUGUGGACCAGGGAUUGCCAACCGCCAACCUUCGGGAUUGUUGUUUACUAUUUGCUGUGAGUAUAAAGCAUCCGUGUUAAAUAUGGGUUGUUGAGGGCAGAAUUUUGUCUGAAAGGAGGGCAGGAAUGUAGUCCCACUGGAUGAAAACAUGACUCUUCCCCCCAACUAGCAGUGCAGGGUCUUACUCUCCGCGCUUUCUUGACAAACUUUAUUGGUUCAUUUUGAUUUGUCUUUUUUUAAUCAGUGUUUCUCUGUUUUUUGUUUUAAUUUUUACUUUUGAAAUCGUUUGAUCGCAAAAGGAGGCGGAUUCUUGAACACGUCUGGAUUUAGUCCACACGGCGCUGGCUCAGAGUUGGGGUGCGUGGGUUCUCAGCUCCCUGCACUAACUCACUGUGUUAGAAAAGUUGCCUAACUCCUCUGGCCUUCAGUUUCCUCAUCUGUAAAAUGAAACGUUGAGCUAGACGAUCUUUAAGAGUCUUUCUUAUUUUCUAGUUUUCUGUCCCUUGGUUGAUUUCCUCUCAUUUCAUUGGAAUUUGGAUUUUCAUUUUUUCAGAGGAGUAAAAAUUAAGUUCCACGUGAAGAAAAUGAAAUGGACUCAAAGAUAACCACAUGUCCUGGGCCUUAAACAUCGUAGGAACUCAAGAGUAACUGCCCGAGUCAGUAAGUGAGUUGAAUACUUUAGUGCUCUCUUGAAACUGCAUAAUAGGAAGUGAAAUGCCUUCUCUUUAGAAAAGGAAGUUUUAUUAGCCUCCUUGGAUCUUAUUAAAUGGAACUUUCAUUGGGAAAGAUUCUAGAACCAGAAAUCAAACUUUGUAUCUAAUUUGGUAUUUCUGUUGCCCACAUUGUAAGUAAUUGUUGUAUCUUGUACUUAUCGAGCACUUACUAAGUGUCAGGCAUUGUACGGAGAUAUACGCGUUAUUAUCUCGCCCAAAUUUCAUGACAAUUCUGAGUUUAAUGAGCUGAGUGCUUUUUAUUGCACUCAUAAAAAAAGAAAGAAAGAAAGAGAGAGAGAAAGAAAGAAGGAAAGAAAGAAAGACACAGAGACUGAGAGCUUUCCUGUGAUUACAAGUACGUGACAGCUGGGGCUCUAAUCCAGGUCGGCCUGACUCCAGAAACCACACCCACCGCCACUAAGCACAGGGCCUCUCUGUAGCCUAGACCCAGGGAAUCUUUUUCCGUCAAUUGUUAGGUAACAUUCAAGAAAAUCAGCCUGAAUGUUCUGAAAACCCAUUAAAAAAAAAAGAUAAAAAUAGAGCUAGCAGAGUUUUCAAUACCUAUAUAAUGAACAAAACAGUAAUAUACACAUCAGUUUUUUAACUGAGCAAAAAUUACGUAGAUAUAAGUGGAGACAAAUGAGCCAUGCACUGUAGAACGAGUAACAACCACUCGUGAAUAUGAUGAUAGAUGUACAGGCUCUCUAGUAAUUAGAGAAACAAAUCUUAAAGCAUGAGAUACCACUUUUUGCCCGUUAAAUGGGACUAAAAUAAAAAGAUGAAUAUUUUCCAAUGUUGCUGAGCGUGUGGGCGAUAGUCUGGAUGGCAAUAUAAAUUGAUUCAGUGAUAAUUUGGGAAUAUAUCUUCAAAAAUUAAAGUUCGCACUCCUUUUAAUGCAGCAACUCCAAUUCUAGGAACGUAUCCUACAGAGAUAUUCAUAUAUAUGUGCAAAAUAUAUACAUGUACAUUUAUUUUAAAUUGAAGCAUUAUUUACAAUAGUGAAUGUCACAAACUAAUAUCCUUCAGUAGUGAGUUUGUUAAAUAAAACAUUAUAAAUCUA
This is a long non-coding RNA of Felis catus (domestic cat), 3083 nucleotides long. RefSeq lists it as uncharacterized. The record is from RefSeq and is a predicted model, not a curated record. The transcript is spliced from 2 exons. NCBI's taxonomy places the organism in Eukaryota, Metazoa, Chordata, Mammalia, Carnivora, Felidae.